CAGUACUAGGGAAGGUGGCACCAGCUUUAGAAGUAGGGCUAUAUCUCCAGAAUAUCCCAGACUUUUCCAAGAAGCCACUUCAUUUUGAAUCUGUGUCACUUCAUUGGAAAAUUAACUUCAAAAAUUUACGGAGAAUUGGCAGCACUUCUUUUUAUUAGUGGUAUAUUUACUUUUCCAAAUAUCUAAGGAAUCUUCUGAAUUUUAAUAUUUUAGGAUAUUCUGUUUUAUUCAUGUUUAUAAUUUUCUACACUAUCAUUGUUAUAUAACCUCUGGUAGGUGGCAGUUUUUUUAAAAAUGAUUUUUAUUUUUUCCAUUAUAGUUGGUUUACAGCGUUCUGUCAGUUUUCUGCUGUACAGCAAAGUGACCGAGUCACACAUACAUAAUACAUUCUUUUUCUCACAUUAUCCUCCAUCACGCUCCAUCAUAAAUUACUAAAUAUAGUUCUCAGUGCUAUACAGCAGGAUCUCAUUGCUUAUCCAUUCCAAAGCAAUAGUUUGCAUCUAUUAACCUCAGAUUCUCAGUCCAUCUCACUCACUCCUGCUUCCCCUUGGCAACCACAAGUCUGUUCUCCAAGUCCAUGAGUAUCUUUUCUGUGGAAAGGUUCAUUUGUGCCAUAUAUUAGAUUCCAGAUAUGUCAUAUCAUAUGGUAUUUGUCUUCCUAUUUCUGACUUACUUCACUUAGUAUGAGAGCCUCUAGUUCCAUCCAUGUUGCUGCAAAUGUCAUUAUUUUGUUCUUUUUAUGGCUGAGUAGUAUUCCAUUGUGUAUAUAUACCACAUCUUCUUAAUCCAUUCAUUUGUCAGUGGACAUUUAGGUGUUUCCAUGUCUAGGCUGUAGUGAAUAGUGUUGCAGUGAACAUACUGGUGCAUGUAUCUUUUUCAAGGGAGUUUUGUCCAGAUGUAUGCCCAAAAGGGGGAUUGAGGAGGAUUGCUGGGUCAUAUGGUAGUUCUAUAUACAGUUUUCUAAGGUACCUCCAUACUGUUUUCCAUAGUGGUUGUACCAAUUUACAUCCCCACCAACAGCGUAGGAGGGUUGUAUUUUCUCCACACCCUCUCCAGCAUUUGUUAUUUGUGGACUUAUUAAUGAUGGUCAUUCUGACUGGUGUGAGGUGCUACUUCAUAGUAAUUUUGAUUUGCAUUUCUCCAAUAAUCAGUGAUGUAUAGCAUCUUUUUAUGUGCUUGUUGGCCAUCUGUAUAUCUUCUUUGGAGAAAUGUCUAUUGAAGUCUUUUGCCCAUUUUUCAAUUGGGUUGUUGGUUUAUUUUUUGCUGUUGAGUUGUAUGAGUUGUUUGUAUAUUUUAGAGAUUAAGCCCUUGUCAUUUGCAUCGUUUGAAAUUCUUUUCUCCCAUUCUGUAGGUUAUCUUUUUGGUCUUUUUUUUAAUGGUUUCCUUUUCCCUGCAAAAGUUUGUCAGUUUGAUUAGAUCCCAUUGGUUUAUUUUUGCUUUUAUUUCUGUUGCCUUGGGUGACUGACCUAAGAAAACAUUUGUAAUGUUGAUGUCAGAGAAUGUUUUGCCUAUGUUCUCUUCUAGGAGUUUGAUGGUGACUUGUCUUACAUUUAAGUCUUCAAGCCAUUUUAAAUUUAUUUUGUGUAUAAUAUAACCUUCUUGAUUUCUGGCUUUCUGGAAUUCAAAGUUCAGAUUGGUUCUUAAACUGUUAACCUUAAUAUUUUUAGUUGUCUUUUUUUUUUUUUUUUUUUUUUUUGUCUUUUUGCCAUUUCUUAGGCCGCUUCUGCGGUUCCCAGGGUAGGGGUCUAAUCGGAGCUGUAGCUGCCAGCCUACACCAGAGCCAUAGCAAUAUGGGAUCCGAGCCGUGUCUGCAACCUACACCACAGCUCAUGGCAACGCCAGAUCCUUAACCCACUGAGCAAGGCCAGGGACCGAACCUGCAACCUCAUGGUUCCUAGUCGGAUUCGUUAACCACUGCGCCACAAUGGGAACUCCUUUUUAGUUGUCUUUAAUUGACUUUUUUUUUUUUUUUUUUUUUUUUUUUUUUUGGUCAUACCCGCCACAUGUGGAAGAUCCCGGGCUAGGGAUCAAGCCCAUACCACAGCAGUGACCUGAGCCGCUGCAGUGACAAUGCUGGAUCCUUAACCUGCUGUGCCACCAGAAAACUCCUUUAAUUGACUUAUUUAGGUUCUUUCUAUAAAGAUACCACUCUAGUUCCUUUCUGUUAACCUUUGCUGUGGUUAGUCCUACUCCUUCUUCAGAUCUCAGCUUCUUCUAAGUGUUCUGUGACUUCUCCUGAACUAGCUUAACACACCUGCAGUCAUCUCUCCAAGCAGUAGAUACUACUUGCCACAUCGCAGUGUUGCCCUACAAUGUGUUAUUUAUUUUUAAUUUUCUGAAUAGUCCUGUAGUACUUUUUGUGUGCCGGACAUUGUUUUAAGUGAUUAAUUUAUUUGAUCUUCAUAAUAAGACUUGGAGAUACAACUAUUACUGCUGCCACUUAUGGAUGAGACAAAUGAGGCACAGCGAGAUUAAGUAACUUGCCCAUGGACAUACCUAGUCAGUGAUGGAGCAGGAUUUGAACCAUACUGUCUGGCUCCUGCAUCCAUCCUCUUUAACACCAUGCUAUGCUGCCUCUCAUUUUAUUAUUAUUCUUUGUUUAAUGGUAAUAUUGUAACUCCCCCACUCCUCACCACAGCAAUCGUCUAUCUUGUUAACCAUAGUAUGUCCCCACAAAUGGUAAGCCCUUCAGAAAGACAGUGACAAUGCUACUUUGUUUCUUGUUGGAUUCUAGUACCUUUUAAGACAGUGCUUAACACAUAAUUGGUAUUUGAUGCAUUUUUAUUGAAUAAAUGGACACAUGUAUAUUCACUGUAAAUGAACUAACAGCAGCGUCUCUUAAAUACGAUAUAAAUGUGAUCCAGUUAUACUGGAGGAAAAGGGAACUUAUACUGACAAGUGGUAUUUUGAAAAUUUCAAAUGUCUAAAAAAGAUUAAAGCUAAAGGGGAUUUCAAGGCUGGUAACAGGUGCUUCAAUUUGAAGCAGAGCUGCUGCUAUUCAAACCUUCCCCACUCCCAGCCACAGGAACAGGCAGUUAGGAAAGCUUGCAGGCUGGAAGGAAAUUCUAAUUCCUUGGAAUGCCCUGAAGAAGGAGGUAGAGCUAUAGACUCUGACUACUUUACUCCAAGACCUGAUAACCC
This 3141-nucleotide long non-coding RNA is filed under the name Sus scrofa (pig). Its description in RNAcentral is "lncRNA (ENSSSCG00000059888.1)". Lineage: Eukaryota; Metazoa; Chordata; Mammalia; Artiodactyla; Suidae. The record is from RNAcentral.